This 57-nucleotide ribosomal RNA is filed under the name Enterobacter cloacae. RNAcentral describes it as "partial 23S ribosomal RNA". The record is from RNAcentral. Lineage: Bacteria; Pseudomonadati; Pseudomonadota; Gammaproteobacteria; Enterobacterales; Enterobacteriaceae.
CGAUGCGUUGAGCUACCCGAUACAAAUGAACCGAGACGCUUAACCUUACAACGCCGA